RNAcentral lists this ribosomal RNA (470 nucleotides) under Salmonella enterica. RNAcentral's name for it is "partial 23S ribosomal RNA". It matches the Rfam family "Bacterial large subunit ribosomal RNA", at positions 762 to 1230 of the family's 2925-position model. Lineage: Bacteria; Pseudomonadati; Pseudomonadota; Gammaproteobacteria; Enterobacterales; Enterobacteriaceae. RNAcentral also lists the same sequence under 1 other name. The record is from RNAcentral.
CUAACUGGAGGACCGAACCGACUAAUGUUGAAAAAUUAGCGGAUGACCUGUGGCUGGGGGUGAAAGGCCAAUCAAACCGGGAGAUAGCUGGUUCUCCCCGAAAGCUAUUUAGGUAGCGCCUCGUGAAUUCAUCUCCGGGGGUAGAGCACUGUUUCGGCUAGGGGGCCAUCCCGGCUUACCAACCCGAUGCAAACUGCGAAUACCGGAGAAUGUUAUCACGGGAGACACACGGCGGGUGCUAACGUCCGUCGUGAAGAGGGAAACAACCCAGACCGCCAGCUAAGGUCCCAAAGUCAUGGUUAAGUGGGAAACGAUGUGGGAAGGCCCAGACAGCCAGGAUGUUGGCUUAGAAGCAGCCAUCAUUUAAAGAAAGCGUAAUAGCUCACUGGUCGAGUCGGCCUGCGCGGAAGAUGUAACGGGGCUAAACCAUGCACCGAAGCUGCGGCAGCGACACUGUGUGUUGUUGGGUA